RNAcentral lists this microRNA (21 nucleotides) under Python bivittatus (Burmese python). Its description in RNAcentral is "pbv-miR-150-3p". Its record names the gene pbv-miR-150-3p. The record is from miRBase by way of RNAcentral. Lineage: Eukaryota; Metazoa; Chordata; Lepidosauria; Squamata; Pythonidae.
CUGGUACAGAGGAUGGAAGGG